UACGAAGGGGGCUAGCGUUGCUCGGAAUCACUGGGCGUAAAGGGCGCGUAGGCGGCCAUUCAAGUCGGGGGUGAAAUCCUGGAGCUCAACUCCAGAACUGCCUUCGAUACUGGAAAGCUCGAGUCCGGGAGAGGUGAGUGGAACUGCGAGUGUAGAGGUGAAAUUCGUAGAUAUUCGCAAGAACACCAGUGGCGAAGGCGGCUCACUGGCCCGGUACUGACGCUGAGGUGCGAAAGCGUGGGGAGCAAACAGG
This 253-nucleotide ribosomal RNA is filed under the name uncultured bacterium. RNAcentral's name for it is "partial 16S ribosomal RNA". It matches the Rfam family "Bacterial small subunit ribosomal RNA", at positions 524 to 776 of the family's 1533-position model. The record is from RNAcentral.